CCGUGCUAAGCGGGGAGAUAGCGGUGCCCUGUACUCGCAAUCCGCUCUAGCGAGGCUGAAUUCCUCCUUUGAGGUCUAACCCUUGAGGCCACUGCCCUUGGUCGGUGGUGUUGAGAGCCGGGUCCUACGCGGCGGAAACCUGUGAAUCCCGUCAGGUCCGGAAGGAAGCAGCGGUAAGCAGUGGCUUCCGGGUGCCGUAGGAGUGCCUGGCUUGAGCCAUCCCCAAACGGUAUGCUUUCGUGGGCGAUCGAACCGGAGGUGCACGG
Molecule: signal recognition particle RNA, 266 nt
Filed under: marine eukaryotic metagenome
Description: Bacterial large signal recognition particle RNA
Rfam family: Bacterial large signal recognition particle RNA
About the family: The signal recognition particle (SRP) is a universally conserved ribonucleoprotein involved in the co-translational targeting of proteins to membranes. Archaeal SRP consists of a 7S RNA and homologues of the eukaryotic SRP19 and SRP54 proteins.
Source: RNAcentral